AUUUGUGUAUUACACUGCAAGCAAAUUAUACUUUGUAAUAUCAGUUCUUCUUAAUGAUUUCAACAGUCAUUGAAAUGCAUUUUACCGAAAAUUGUGUAACAUUGUAACUUUUACUUCAAUGCAAAAUUUAAAAAUUGAAAUGAUACAUAAUUCAUUUCAAGGCCAAUGGAAUAUCAAGGUCAAGGUUUGAUUACAUUUGUUAAAAAUAAUAAGCAAAAGGAAUCUGAAAGUUCAUGUUAUUAAGUUUAUUCUACAGCGUAGGAGGUGUUCACUAUAUGCGGCGUUUAAAACUGAAAGCUGUUCGUAAUAGAGGAAAUUGAUCUGAAGUAAAGUCAUGCCAUACAUGGAUGCAUCUAGAUCGGAACGUCUGGACGUAUGUGUCCAGUGCGGUUUUAUGAUUCUUUGAUUGCUGUGGACCACUCUUGACUGAUUUCCUGCCCCAAGGGAGUACUAUCAAUUCAACACAACACUGCAAUACUCUGAUGAAACUACGGAAAGCAAUCAAAAACAAACGGUCAGGCCUUCUCACACAACAAGUGAUCCUUUUCCAUGACAAUGCCCAGCCAAACGUCUCCACGAAGUGUUGGAACACCAGGCGUAUAGUCCGGAUUUGUCACCUCGUGACUUCCACAUCUUUGGGCCACUUAAGAGAACAUUACUAGCGACACCUUUCCAUUCGGACGGACUUCCUCAAGAAUUAACCACCAUUUUUCUACAGCAAAGGCAUAGACCUGCUAUCUAAACAAUGGGGCCUGUGUUAUAACACCCACGGCGAUUUCUUUUGAUUUUCAAUAAAAAUACUCUUUCCAUUCAA
This is a long non-coding RNA of Argiope bruennichi, 814 nucleotides long. RefSeq lists it as uncharacterized. NCBI's taxonomy places the organism in Eukaryota, Metazoa, Arthropoda, Arachnida, Araneae, Araneidae. The transcript has 2 exons. The record is from RefSeq and is a predicted model, not a curated record.